This 358-nucleotide unclassified non-coding RNA is filed under the name soil metagenome. RNAcentral's name for it is "partial contains 5.8S ribosomal RNA, internal transcribed spacer 2, and large subunit ribosomal RNA". The stretch from base 1 to 120 matches the Rfam family "5.8S ribosomal RNA", at positions 35 to 154 of the family's 154-position model. The record is from RNAcentral.
GAUGAAGAACGCAGCGAAAUGCGAUAAGUAAUGUGAAUUGCAGAAUUCAGUGAAUCAUCGAAUCUUUGAACGCACAUUGCGCCCGUCAGUAUUCUGGCGGGCAUGCCUGUUCGAGCGUCAUUACGCCCCUCAAGUCCCCUGUGGACUUGGUGUUGGGGAUCGGCGAGGCUGGUUUUCCAGCACAGCCGUCCCUUAAAUUAAUUGGCGGUCUCGCCGUGGCCCUCCUCUGCGCAGUAGUAAAACACUCGCAACAGGAGCCCGGCGCGGUCCACUGCCGUAAAACCCCCCAACUUUUUAUAGUUGACCUCGAAUCAGGUAGGACUACCCGCUGAACUUAAGCAUAUCAGUAAGCGGAGGA